This 482-nucleotide ribosomal RNA is filed under the name uncultured bacterium. Its description in RNAcentral is "partial 16S ribosomal RNA". It matches the Rfam family "Bacterial small subunit ribosomal RNA", at positions 28 to 523 of the family's 1533-position model. The record is from RNAcentral.
AGUGAACGUUGGCGGCGUGGAUUAGGCAUGCAAGUCGAGCGAGAACCGUAGCAAUACGGGGACAGCGGCGAAAGGGACAGUAAUGUGUAGGUACCUACCUCCGGGUUCGGGAUAGCUGCGGGAAACUGCAGGUAAUACCGAAUAACGUCUCCGGACCAAAGGUGUGAUUCCACCUGGAGAGGGGCCUGCAUCCUAUUAGCUUGUUGGCGGGGUAACGGCCCACCAGGGCGGCGAUGGGUAGCGGGUGUGAGAGCACGACCCGCGUCAUUGGGACUAAGACACUGCCCGGACACCGACGGGUGGCUGCAGUCGUGAAUCUUCGGCGAUGGGCGCAAGCCUGACCGGGCGACGCCGCGUGCGGGAUGAAGGCCUUCGGGUUGUAAACCGCUGUCGUAGAGGAGGAAAUGCAGGGGGGUUCUCCCCUCUGUUUGACCUAUUCUAGGAGGAAGUACGGGCUAAGUUCGUGCCAGCAGCCGCAGUAA